AGCAGCCGCGGUAAUUCCAGCUCCAAUAGCGUAUAUUAAAGUUGUUGCAGUUAAAAAGCUCGUAGUUGAAUUUCGGGAUCAGUACGCUGGUCGUGCCUUCGGUAUGCACUGGUUCCACUGAUUCCUCCCUUCUGAAGAACCGUAAUGCCAUUCAGUUGGUGUGGCGGGGAAUCAGGAUUGUUACUUUGAAAAAUUAGAGUGUUUAAAGCAGGCUCGCGCUUGAAUACAUUAGCAUGGAAUAAUGAAAUAGGACGUUUGAUCCUAUUUUGUUGGUUUCUAGGAUUGACGUAAUGAUUAAUAGGGAUAGUUGGGGGCAUUAGUAUUCAAUUGUCAGAGGUGAAAUUCUUGGAUUUAUUGAAGACUAACUACUGCGAAAGCAUUUGCCAAGGAUGUUUUCAUUAAUCAAGAACGAAAGUUAGGGGAUCGAAGACGAUCAGAUACCGUCGUAGU
This 450-nucleotide ribosomal RNA is filed under the name uncultured Glomus. RNAcentral describes it as "SSU rRNA". It matches the Rfam family "Eukaryotic small subunit ribosomal RNA", at positions 569 to 1024 of the family's 1831-position model. The record is from RNAcentral. Lineage: Eukaryota; Fungi; Glomeromycota; Glomeromycetes; Glomerales; Glomeraceae.